RNAcentral lists this non-coding RNA (104 nucleotides) under Plasmodium falciparum 3D7. Lineage: Eukaryota; Apicomplexa; Aconoidasida; Haemosporida; Plasmodiidae. The record is from RNAcentral.
CCCCCUUGUGUUACAUUAUUCAUAUUAUGAUCAUUCAUGUUGUGGUUAUUCACAUUAUGAUCAUUCACAUUAUGAUCAUUCACAUUAUGAUCAUUCACCUUAUG